RNAcentral lists this ribosomal RNA (254 nucleotides) under uncultured bacterium. RNAcentral's name for it is "partial 16S ribosomal RNA". It matches the Rfam family "Bacterial small subunit ribosomal RNA", at positions 524 to 776 of the family's 1533-position model. The record is from RNAcentral.
UACAGAGGGGGCAAGCGUUGUUCGGAAUUACUGGGCGUAAAGGGCGCGUAGGCGGCCACCGCAAGUCGACUGUGAAAUCUCCGGGCUUAACCCGGAAAGGUCAGCCGAUACUGCGGGGCUAGAGUGCAGAAGGGGCAACUGGAAUUCUCGGUGUAGCGGUGAAAUGCGUAGAUAUCGAGAGGAACACCUGCGGCGAAGGCGGGUUGCUGGGCUGACACUGACGCUGAGGCGCGAAAGCUAGGGGAGCGAACGGA